GGCACAUGGGCUGUGGGGGACAGUGAGGGGCGGCUAUCUCCAAGACCCCACUUCAACUGGGACACAUGCUGAUUAGAGGCUCCCCCCACCAGACAUAGGAGCUGACAUGGCAGAUGGGGGUUUGGAAUCUGGUCUCUCCUCUGGUGCCAGAGCUUCCUCUGGGCCUCAGUUUCCUCAUCUGUAAAGUCAGGGGUUUGGACUAGACAAUCACUGAAGACCCCCUAUGAUGAUCUGGGACCUGGGGCAGAAGCCAAGGGACCAAGACCUCCCAGCCUCAACUGGCUUUGCUCUUCUCUCUCCAUCCAGAUAACAAGUACGCCCCAGCCGUCACCCUCAAUGGCUUCAUCUUCAUCCUGGGGGGCGCCUACGCCCGGGCCACCACCAUCUAUGACCCAGACAAAGGCAAUAUCAAGGCAGGGCCCAACAUGAACCACUCCCGGCAAUUCUGCAGUGCAGUCGUGCUGGAUGGGAAGAUCUACGCCACGGGAGGCAUCGUGAGCAGCGAGGGACCGGCCCUGGGCAACAUGGAGGCCUACGAGCCGACCACCAACACGUGGACCCUCCUUCCACACAUGCCCUGCCCCGUCUUCCGGCACGGCUGCGUGGUCAUCAAGAAGUAUAUCCAGAGCGGAUGAGGGCCCGGGCCAUGUGUGUGGGGCUGCGGGCACGGCUGGGGAGGCGGGCCACACAUAAUGCAACGCUCACCUCAAUGGCGAGAAGCGCAGAUCGACACCGCAGAACCCCCUGCACUGGACUCGAGAGCAUUCUCUACCUCGAAUGUAGAACAGUCGCCCGCACCCUGACGGCAGGGAGCCGCGCGCGGCUGGUGCUCCAUGCUAGGGAUGUUCGCGUGCGGGCUUGGAGUCACUCGUGCCCGUCCCAGAGUCCAGGCUUCAGCCAGCCCAGUAAUAAGCACAAUGAAACUCCACCCGUCCUCGGUCAUCGCGUCUUCAUGUUACACAGGGUGCGGGCGGCCGUCAGUGCCAGCGCAGCUGGAGCGUCUGCCUCCGAGGGCGGCCCAGCCAGCAUCCCAGCGGGAUGGAGUGCAGGCGAUGACUGACGAUGUGUCCAAUUCCCUUCCUCUCCUCAUCGGUCACACUGGAGCAAAGCUGGCAAUUUCUGUGAGCUCUCUGAACAGGGUUCUCUGGUACAGGAUUGUACAUAGCUAUGUUUAUUGGUUAGCUCUUGGUAUACCGUAAUAAAUCUAUUUAUAGACCUAGACUCA
This 1225-nucleotide long non-coding RNA is filed under the name Phascolarctos cinereus (koala). RNAcentral describes it as "lncRNA (ENSPCIG00000036940.1)". Lineage: Eukaryota; Metazoa; Chordata; Mammalia; Diprotodontia; Phascolarctidae. The record is from RNAcentral.